Molecule: ribosomal RNA, 796 nt
Filed under: uncultured Methanosarcinaceae archaeon
Lineage: Archaea; Methanobacteriati; Methanobacteriota; Methanomicrobia; Methanosarcinales; Methanosarcinaceae
Description: bacterial SSU rRNA
Rfam family: Archaeal small subunit ribosomal RNA
Source: RNAcentral
ACGGCUCAGUAACACGUGGAUAACCUGCCCUUGGGUCCGGCAUAACCCCGGGAAACUGGGGAUAAUUCCGGAUAACGCACAUAUGCUGGAAUGCUUUAUGCGUAAAAUGGAUUCGUCUGCCCAAGGAUGGGUCUGCGGCCUAUCAGGUAGUAGUGGGUGUAAUGUACCUACUAGCCUACAACGGGUACGGGUUGUGAGAGCAAGAGCCCGGAGAUGGAUUCUGAGACAUGAAUCCAGGCCCUACGGGGCGCAGCAGGCGCGAAAACUUUACAAUGCGGGAAACCGUGAUAAGGGGACACCGAGUGCCAGCAUCAUAUGCUGGCUGUCCAGGUGUGUAAAAUACACCUGUUAGCAAGGGCCGGGCAAGACCGGUGCCAGCCGCCGCGGUAACACCGGCGGCCCGAGUGGUGAUCGUGAUUAUUGGGUCUAAAGGGUCCGUAGCCGGUUUGGUCAGUCCUCCGGGAAAUCUGACGGCUUAACCGUUAGGCUUUCGGGGGAUGCUGCCAGGCUUGGAACCGGGAGAGGUAAGAGGUACUACAGGGGUAGGAGUGAAAUCUUGUAAUCCCUGUGGGACCACCUGUGGCGAAGGCGUCUUACCAGAACGGGUUCGACGGUGAGGGACGAAAGCUGGGGGCACGAACCGGAUUAGAUACCCGGGUAGUCCCAGCCGUAAACGAUGCUCGCUAGGUGUCAGGCAUGGCGCGACCGUGUCUGGUGCCGCAGGGAAGCCGUGAAGCGAGCCACCUGGGAAGUACGGCCGCAAGGCUGAAACUUAAAGGAAUUGGCGGGGGAGCAC